CUGCCGCUCCUCCAACACAACACCGGCCCUGUCUGUCACGGGCAGCCCACCGACUCAGCUCGCUCAUCCCAUCACAAGCCGCGCCAAAGCAGGAAGAAUAACUGUGAGCUUGAGCAAGAGCAGGAGCUACACAGGGCCGGCCUGCAACAAUGGCUCGUCGGCGGUGUACCGGCUGGGAGGCACUGCUCCGGGCAGCGCUAUGGCAGGCGAUUCUGGUCCUGCCAUGGACGAGCUACGCCGGCACGAGCAAAGCGGCAUCGCCGCUGCCCAAGGCGGUGGCGCCGGCGGUGGUGUCGAGGGCGGAGGACGCGAGGCUGUUCCGGAUAUACUACGGCCAGGGCUUCAAGGUGGUCAAGAACAGCUGGGACGGCAACAGCUACCUCCUCAUGCAGAACACGUCCAGGAUGGCGAUCAAGACCAAGUACUGCACGGGGAGGAUCAAGUCGUUCGUUGUCCCUCUCGCCAACUACUCCGUCGACACCUCCGCUUCUCCAGUGUCAUUCUUUGAGCUACUUGGAGUGCUACAGAACUUGCAGGGGAUAACAUCAGACCAUGUUUCUUCACCGUGUGUGCUCCAAUCGUAUGCAAAUGGACAUGUGCAACUUGUGAACAGGACAGACGCACAGAAACUCUCGCAAUUUAGUGCGCAUUUCGUGAGCAAUACAGAUAAAGAUAAAGGUUGCAAUUUUGCAGCUUACGUACCCGCAGAAGAGGAUACACCGUUGCAGAGGGCCGAGUGGAUCAAAUACCUGGGAACUUUCACAAAUUCCGAAGAAAGGGCCAAUGCAAUAUAUGACGCAAUUAAGACAAACUACUUGUGCUUAAGCAAAGCAGCUGCAGACCUUGGUACACGAUUCAAACCUAUAGUAGCAUGGAUUGAAUACACACAGGGAAUGUGGUCAUUUGUCAAAGAAAGCUACAAGUUACAGUAUGUCACAGAUGCAGGAGCGGAAAUUGUCGAUGCAACUAUUACUGAUAAGAGAUUCAACAUUUCGGAUCCCGAGGAUAUGGACAACUUACAUGCUAUUCUCUGUACAGUGGACGUGGUCAUAGAUCAAACAUAUGCCUCAGAUCCUGCAGAGUACAAACUAUCCACAUUUUUGGAGAAUAUUAAUGUGGACCGUAACUCUUGUUUUAGUUUUGUAGCCAACCAUAGUAUAUGGAGAUAUGAUAAAAGAAUAGGAGAUUCCAAGACACUUGAUUGGUUUGAUGGAGCUAUCUCCCAGCCUCAGUUGGUUCUAGCUGAUCUAGUAGAAGUUUUCUUCCCAACGGGGAACUACACGACAGUUUACUUCAGGAAUCUUGCAAAGGAAGAAGGGGUAACAGAAAUUGGCCCUGAAAUUUGUGGUAGGAGCAUAUCCACACCCAUGGAGCCUACGAUCCUGCCCUGCCAAUGACGACCUUAGAUGAACAUUAAGACCAUUCAAGCUACUGUGCUCGCAAACAGUGGAAACGUGGAACUGUUAUAGGUCACCAACAAGGUAUGAGGGGUCUCCAAGGGUCCUGAAAAUAAUACAAUGUGAUUAUCUUGGUGCAACAAUUAGAACUAGUCAACUAUAACCAUUUGCAUAACAUUAUAGUGUGUUAAGCUGGACAGUAUAUCUCAGGUUUCCUAUACAAUGUAAGGAGGAAGGACUAUUUGGUUCAUUGUAGUAUUUUCCUAAUUUCGUUUCAAACUGA
This is an RNA transcript of Brachypodium distachyon (stiff brome), 1680 nucleotides long. RefSeq lists it as uncharacterized. Lineage: Eukaryota; Viridiplantae; Streptophyta; Magnoliopsida; Poales; Poaceae. The record is from RefSeq and is a predicted model, not a curated record. The transcript is spliced from 12 exons.